This 349-nucleotide ribosomal RNA is filed under the name uncultured bacterium. RNAcentral's name for it is "bacterial SSU rRNA". It matches the Rfam family "Bacterial small subunit ribosomal RNA", at positions 8 to 350 of the family's 1533-position model. The record is from RNAcentral.
AGAGUUUGAUCAUGGCUCAGGGUGAACGCUAGCUACAGGCUUAACACAUGCAAGUCGAGGGGCAGCAUGUUGGUUGCUUGCAACCAAUGAUGGCGACCGGCGCACGGGUGAGUAACGCGUAUCCAACCUACCCUUGUCCAUCGGAUAACCCGUCGAAAGGCGGCCUAACACGAUAUGCGGUUCUCAGCAGGCAUCUAACGAGAACGAAAUGUGAAGGAGAAGGAUGGGGAUGCGUCUGAUUAGCUUGUUGGCGGGGUAACGGCCACAAGGCGACGAUCAGUAGGGGUUCUGAGAGGAAGGUCCCCCANAUUGGAACUGAGACACGGUCCCAAACUCCGUACGGGAGGCA